UACGAGGGGGGCAAGCGUUGUUCGGAAUUACUGGGCGUAAAGCGCGCGCAGGCGGCCCGCGAGGUGUCACGUGAAAGCCCCGGGCUCAACCCGGGAGGGUCGUGGCAAACCGGCGGGCUUGAGGCCGGUAGAGGUGGGUGGAACUCCUGGUGGAGUGGUGAAAUGCGUAGAGAUCAGGAAGAACACCCGUGGCGAAGGCGGCCCACUGGGCCGGUACUGACGCUGAGGCGCGAAGGCGUGGGGAGCGAACGGG
Molecule: ribosomal RNA, 253 nt
Filed under: uncultured bacterium
Lineage: Bacteria
Description: partial 16S ribosomal RNA
Rfam family: Bacterial small subunit ribosomal RNA
Source: RNAcentral